AUUGAACGCUGGCGGCAGGCCUAACACAUGCAAGUCGAGCGGAUGAAGGGAGCUUGCUCCUGGAUUCAGCGGCGGACGGGUGAGUAAUGCCUAGGAAUCUGCCUGGUAGUGGGGGAUAACGUCCGGAAACGGGCGCUAAUACCGCAUACGUCCUGAGGGAGAAAGUGGGGGAUCUCCGGACCUCACGCUAUCAGAUGAGCCUAGGUCGGAUUAGCUAGUUGGUGGGGUAAAGGCCUACCAAGGCGACGAUCCGUAACUGGUCUGAGAGGAUGAUCAGUCACACUGGAGCUGAGACACGGUCCAGACUCCUACGGGAGGCAGCAGUGGGGAAUAUUGGACAAUGGGCGAAAGCCUGAUCCAGCGAUGCCGCGUGUGUGAAGAAGGUCUUCGGAUUGUAAAGCACUUUAAGUUGGGAGGAAGGGCAGUAAGUUAAUACCUUGCUGUUUUGACGUUACCAACAGAAUAAGCACCGGCUAACUUCGUG
This 484-nucleotide ribosomal RNA is filed under the name uncultured bacterium. RNAcentral describes it as "partial 16S ribosomal RNA". It matches the Rfam family "Bacterial small subunit ribosomal RNA", at positions 30 to 507 of the family's 1533-position model. The record is from RNAcentral.